CUUAAAUGAACAUGUGAAUAUAACACAUUUCCAUGACUUUUCCAAAACUUUUGUGAUUUAAGUAUUUUCCAUGACUUUUCCAGGCCUGGAAAUUACCAUUGUAAAAUUCCAUGACUUUUCCAGGUUUUCCAUGACCGUACAAACCCUGCUAAUUAAUUAUUCAUAUUUAUAACAAUUAAAUAACAGUAAUAAUAAUAACUCAAUCAUUAAUAACACUCAAAAGAACAACACACUGUAACAUACCUGCAUUCAUACAAAAAGGGACAGAAUACGUCAUCAACUUCUGUGGGCAACGGCGCGUGCUCCGUUCUAGAAAGACCGAGGCUGUGUCUACUACCGCGCACUUGAGCACUUCGAGCACUGACUUUCAGUGUUCGAAGUGCGCCACUGAAAAAACCAGCAGAAUUCAGUGCACCGAAAGUACCCGGAUGGUGCACUGCAAACGGGCAAAAAAUGUAGUGGAAAACGAUGGACACUACUCGCCCUAAGCGGCCGCCAUCUUGGCGACGUAGCGGAAGAGGAGGAGCCAUUUCGCCAGCUUUUCAUUUUAUUUCUAAAACAAUGGCGGACAGCACAAGCGGUAGACCACGAAGCUACAGACCGUAAAUAGACGUUUCCUGGAGGUGCUGGUGCUGGUCCUCUGCUGCCCUCCCGACAUCUGGCUCCAAUGACCUCUGGCACCUCACAUCCACCUCCAGGGCCUUUAAGAAGAUGGACCGCCAUCGCGUCUUCAGUAUCCCGAAGGACCUCUCCACAACACACCGCCUUUGACAGGCAGUAGUUGUAGCUUGAGGUGGACAGGCUGCCUGAAGGGGUCAUGAGGCAGAUGGGUUGGGACAGGCAGGGUAGCCACCAUCCCCAAGGAUACAGUAUCCUGGUGGAGGGGAUGACUGCUCAUAGAAGAUGGGGCUGUUAUUCAGGACCCUGGCAUCAUGCACUGAGCCCGGGCCUGUCGAGGCCCUGGCCACCACCCGAUAGGAGGUGGCGCUGGCAAGCCAACAAAUAAAAACUAGACAGGAGAUCUCGGGGCCCCAACCGUGGUCAGUCAGUGCCCAGCACAGCCAUGAGGGCGUUGAAUGACUCUCGGGUGAGCCUGAAGUCCACCCUCAUGUCACUGUGGCCAUCAAAAUACAAUGCAAGCAGUGGCAUUGCAACAUUGAUACAGCAGCGCCGCCUGGGACUGGGUGGCUGCUGUAGAGUGUGUGGGGAGGGGAAGGGAAGAUUAUAUUAAUAUGUAAGUCAUUUUAUCAAUAAAAUGUUGUCAUUGA
Pseudoliparis swirei is the source of this 1268-nucleotide long non-coding RNA. RefSeq lists it as uncharacterized. The transcript is spliced from 2 exons. The record is from RefSeq and is a predicted model, not a curated record. Lineage: Eukaryota; Metazoa; Chordata; Actinopteri; Perciformes; Liparidae.